UGAGGAAUAUUGGUCAAUGGGCGGGAGCCUGAACCAGCCAAGCCGCGUGACGGAAGAAGGCGCUAAGCGUCGUAAACGUCUUUUGCCGGGGAACAAAAGGCGCGGACGCGUCCGCGUGUGAGUGUACCCGGAGAAAAGCAUCGGCUAACUCCGUGCCAGCAGCCGCGGUAAUACGGAGGAUGCGAGCGUUAUCCGGAUUUAUUCGGUUUAAAGGGUGCGUAGGCGGCCUGUUAAGUCAGCGGUAAAAGCCCGGGGCUCAACCCCGGCGAGCCGUUGAAACUGGGGGGCUAGAGACGGCGAGAAGUACGCGGAAUGCGCGGUGUAGCGGUGAAAUGCAUAGAUAUCGCGCAGAACUCCGAUUGCGAAGGCAGCGUACCGGCGCCGGACUGACGCUGAGGCACGAAAGCGUGGGUAUCGAACAGGAUUAGAUACC
This 433-nucleotide ribosomal RNA is filed under the name uncultured bacterium. RNAcentral describes it as "bacterial SSU rRNA". It matches the Rfam family "Bacterial small subunit ribosomal RNA", at positions 355 to 786 of the family's 1533-position model. The record is from RNAcentral.